RNAcentral lists this non-coding RNA (27 nucleotides) under Mus musculus (house mouse). Lineage: Eukaryota; Metazoa; Chordata; Mammalia; Rodentia; Muridae. The record is from RNAcentral.
UAAACCACACUCUUCAGACCUUUGCCA